RNAcentral lists this long non-coding RNA (22400 nucleotides) under Ananas comosus (pineapple). Its description in RNAcentral is "long non-coding RNA (ACOM_LNC018273)". Lineage: Eukaryota; Viridiplantae; Streptophyta; Magnoliopsida; Poales; Bromeliaceae. The record is from RNAcentral.
CAAGUGCCAAGCGAUUCCCAUUCUCCUGCUUCAUCCUGUAGAGUAUUGGCGUACCAAACUAAUAAUAAAACUCUCUUUAUUACACACAAAAUAACUCUCAUUCACAUACACCCAUAAGACUACAAACCUCACACACUCACUCACUAUUUCACUACACCUCAAAGCACUUUCUCACCUCACACCACCACUCACACCCUUACUUCACUAUAUCUCACUCUUCACUCUCCAGGCACACAUGGUGUGGGAGCCUCACAUCUAUUUAUAGGCUCCCAACCUAUCUACAUCAGCACUCUAGAAUAUUCUAGAGUACUUGCUUCUAGAACUCACUAAAGUGCUCUAUUAGCAAGUAGAGAGCACUUUGUUCCUAGAGUUUUCUAGAGUGCUCCAUUAGCUAGUAGAGAAUUGGAAAGGAAUAGAGCAUUCUAGAAUGUUCUAUUGAAGAGAGAGAAAGAGUUGCCUCUUUCACUUCCCUCCUCUUUUUUUUACUGAGAAUUCUUUUCUUAAAAUUCUAAGUGUUCUAAUUGCCAAUUCUAAUUUUCAUUUUAAUAACGAAGUAAAUAUUUUUGAAUAAUUCACCAUUUUAAUGCAAUUCAUUUUUAUUUCUCAUUCUUAGGGGCUGUUUGGUUGGAUGUAGUUACAGAAACAGUGUAGUUGGAAAUACAUGCAGUUGCAAAUGCUGCAGUUGUAACUAGUCUGUUUGGUUUUACGCAGUUGCAACUGCUGCAGUUACAUUUCUUCUGUUUGGUAAUAUGAAGCUGAUAGUUGUAUUUGUGAAUUUUAUCAUAUUUUCAGAGAGAGUUGUGAUAUUACCUUCACUAGACAUAAAAUAAUUGUAUAAGUUUAUUAAUCAUUUAAAUUUACUAUAAAUAAGUAGAUAUAUAUAAUAUUCUUCAACUUAUUAAUCAACACAUUUAAAAUUUUUAAUUUAUUUAAUUUUAAUAUGUAAAUCAAACUUUAAAAUUUAAACGAUUCUCUCAUUUUUUUUAUCAAAUUUAAUAAUUAUAAUUAAUUAAAACUUAUUAAAUUAACAUACACGAUCACAUUCUAUAAAAUUUUUUUAAAAAAACUAUAUUUAUAUUUUAAAUAAAAUAAAUUUAAAAAAUUUAAUUUUUUGCACAAAGCUUGUAUUGUCUAAAAAAAUUUAUUAGUAUGAGUUUAUUUACAAGUAUUUUUAUUUACCUAUAUACAUAUAUUAUUUAUUUAUUUAGCUAUUUAUUUAUUUAUUUAUUAUUGUUAAUUUGUGGGUGAUCCUAUCCCUCACCAACUGCUGCAGUUGGAACUACGGCCAAUUUGGAUGUAGUUCCAACUGCAGCAUUUGGACCUUCUUGUGUAGUUGGAACUGCAGCAGUUGAACUCAACUACACUAGACCAAACAAAGGAAUUAAGGCUGCACGCAUUUACAACUGCACUGCAGUUGCAAAUGCGUGCAACCAAACAGCCCCUUAUUCUAACUAUGAACUAAACAUGCCUAUAUAGUUAGGCUUAUAGUAAGUACAGUCCUUUGAAUAGUAAAGAGUUUCUUGAAAGUGAAAAAUAGGCACACUGACCGUUCCUAACACAAGUGGCAAAGGUUUUGAUAGUUGGUGCCCGAAGUCUCAAAUUCGAAGUAGGGAUGGAAAUGGAUCCGNAAAAAUAGGCACACUGACCGUUCCUAACACAAGUGGCAAAGGUUUUGAUAGUUGGUGCCCGAAGUCUCAAAUUCGAAGUAGGGAUGGAAAUGGAUAAAAAAAAAAAAAGCUUCCGCCCCGAUCCACACCAAAUGAGGCGGUAAGUGGGAAUAAAAAAUUUUAAAAAAUAUAAUCCGUCCCGAAUCUGCCUCGAUCCGCCAAGUAAAUAGAGCUGGAGGCGGGAGACCCUUUUCUUCCUUCAAUCAGUUUCAAUCCAUCAAAAAUUCGCCAAAAAUUUGCUCCCGUCUCGAUCUGCCCCGAAUGGGACGGUAAGUGGAAGCAAAAAAAAUAAAAUAAAAAAUAACCUGCUCCGAAUCCGCCUCGUCCCGGCAACAAAUGGAGCAGAAGGUCGGAAAACCUUCUCGCUCCUAGAUCCGCCCCGUUUGCAUCUCUAGUUUGAAGGCUAAUAACUUCACUUUCCUAACUAAAUUUAUUUUAAAAAAAUAAAUGAGGCGCUCAAAACUGAAAAAAAAAUAUCGAGUUUAAAAAAAAUAAUAAGCGCGUGUUUGCAUUAAAAAUAAAAAAGUAGGAAUAAUUGCCUAUAUACCCCUCAUACGUUUGAAAAUAUCCGAUUUACCUCUAUUUUUUUUCUUUCUAAAAUACCUCUCAUAUAUUCCACCGUUAUUGCAAAAUACUCCCGUAAUUAUCUCCUGUUAAGUUAACUUGGGUUAAACGUAAGUUAAAUAUCUAUCACAGUUAAAAAAAUUAAAAUGACAAUUUUUUCAUUAACUUAAGGGCAAAUAAGAAAUAUUGGUGACGGUAGAGAGGUAUAUUGGAAAAGACGAAAAAUCAAAAUACUUUUUGUGCCCCUGACUUUAAGGGCAAAUAAGAAAGUCAGUGAGAGUGGAAGGGUGUAUUUGAAAGGACAAAAUAGUAAUUUUACAGAGGUAACAGAGUUCAUUAACAAAUUUUAACCCUAGGAAUAUAUUAGAAAUAGGUUGGAACGUAGAAAAGGUAUUUUCAAUAUUAAUUUUCUAAGAGAGAUAAAUCGAAAAGUCGGAAACUUUUCCGAAAUAUAUAAGCAAUUGUCCUAAAAAAAUAUGUCUAUAAAAAAAACAAGAAAAUAAAAUAAAAUCUAAACAAAGCGCUAGCGGCAAAUCCCACGCACCGCCAGCUGUCGAUCUUCAACGCCCCGCCUCCCGCUAUCCCGACUGGCGUCCAGACAGCUGGGCUACCACUUGGCAGCGCCAGAGCUGGCAGUGCACUCCGCAACUUCGAGGCGAGAUACAGCGACUCAUCGCGCGCCACGUCACUGAGAGCGGCGCCUAGUGCUUCUCCAUAGCUACCAUCCUCACCGUCCAUUCCACCGAUCCAACGCCGCACGUCACACACACCGCCCCGCUCCUGAAAAAGGCUAAAAGUUUGCAGCCAUACUCAUAUCGCCAUAUCUCCGACCAAUCAAUUUUUUUUUAUAAAAUUCAAAGUAUUUUACCAUAACUUUUAAAAAAUAUUUUAUUUUAUACUCAAAAGAUGAAUUAUAAUUCACUUUAUCUUUCUAUACCUAUAUACCUAUAUAUUAUUUUUUAUAAACUUUACAACACGACAAAACCUUCUUCAUCCUUGUCUUUUUUUUCGAUCCUUAUCUUUUUUUUUUUAUUCCUAAUGAUCGAAUUUAUUAUCUUUUAUCUUCGUCCGAUGUUUCGUCUUCUCACGUGUCCAUUUCUUAAUUAAUAUGUUCACAUUUCAUUAUCAUCUAAAUAAAUUAAUUUUAUAAAAAAUACAAAUAAAAUAAGAUAUAUGUUACCAUGACUAAAGAGGAGUUCGACGCUAAUAAUGGCGCAGCGAAUGAGAAAUGGACAUCAGGAUUCGCCUUCCCGAUAUCGGCAGCACAAUUAAAAUGCAUAUGAAGUAGUGUUUUAUUACUUUUUUUAUUAUUAUUACGUGUAAUUUAUUUGUUGAAAUUAUUAAUAUUGUUAUAUCUGUUUUAUAUCUUUUAUUUGUAUUUAUUGAUUUCUUAUGACAAGUCAAAAAUUUUUAAAAUAUUUUAUUUUGUUAAUUUUCUGUCUCUUAUAGUAUCAGUCCGCCGUAAUAUGCGAGUAACUUUACUAGUAUAAAUAAUGUAUCAUGAUUAUUAUAGAGUAACUUUCUACCUCCUCCCUUGCUAUAUUUUAUUCAAAAAUAAAAUUUUCAACUUUUUUAAUUUUUUUAAAGCAAUGCUAGCCAUACAAAGCUUUUCAUUCUUACAACUUCAACAUUCAAUAGCCACUAUUUUUCUAACUUAUCUUGCCUAUAUUUCUUUUUUAAGCACAAACUACAAAAGAUAAGAUAAAUUACAAGCUCUUGCCUCGGGGCUUGUAAAGAUUGCAAAACAAAAGGUGGUGGUAGGCUUUGCAUUUUUUUUUUUUGAUAAAUUUUAAUUUGUUUUCUUAUGAUUUAGUGUAUUUUUACUUUACCAUCAGAAGGUUCAAAAAAUGAUACAUAAUUAUUCUAUAAUUUUAUUCUUAUUUCACUGAAAGAUAGCAAAGUGAAAUUUUCAACACCACAAAGUGAUAUUUAAUUUAUUAUACGAUAAGUUCUUACAGUGAAACAAAAAUAAAAUUAUACUAAGUGCAUCUUUAUGAAUCACAUGAUAGCAAAGUAAACAUACACUAAACUACAAGAUUAGUAAAAUCAACCUUUUGAACCACACAGUGGCAAAGUGAAAAUGCACUAAAUCACAACUUCUCAUAUUUUGGAAUUAAUUAACUUUAAUUAAAAAAUUAAUUUUUUUCUCAACUUUUUUUUAUAUUAAGAGCAUAUCAACUUCUCAUAUUUUGGAAUUAAUUAACUUUAAUUAAAAAAUUAAUUUUUUUCUCAACUUUAUUAGUAAUUUUAUUAAAUUUAAUAAUUUUAAGCACUUUUAGUAAUAAUUAUAUUUAGAUUAAUUAAUAAUCAAUAACUAAUAGAAUCAUUAAACUCAAUACAAAUCUUAACUUAACUAAAGUCUUAUUAAUUUGGAUGUUUGUAAUAACAUAUGCAACAAUAAUUUGUUUGAUAUAAAUAUUUCUAUUUUUAAUUUUAUAUGAUUAGAAGCUGAGUGUUAGGGACUUAGCAAUCCUUGGUCCAAAUAGGUACCAAUCCAGCAGUUAUUAUGGGAAAUGGAUGGUCAUAUAAUUGUUGGAUUUAAAGGCUCCAAAAUUAGAGGCAGAAACUCUAAGGUCAUAGGAUAACUCUUGAGUUCACAUUGUAAUUAUGAGAGUUUUUUUUUGUUAGUGGACUUAAUAAGUGAGUAAUUGUGGGUGGUUCGUGGUCAAGUUUAAUAUUCCUAGAGCCUAUAAAUAGGUGGGUUGGCAAAGGCAAAGAGAGUAGGGAGAGAAGAGAGGGUGUAUUCUGUAUUAUCUUUUUUUAAGUAUCGGAGUAUUAAUUUAGUGUUUGCAAAGCUUGUAUCGUUUUCUUUUAUUUUCUCUUUCUUGAACCUAAUCUUUGAGGGCGCGAAGGUUGGGAGUAACAGGAUUGAGACAGAUUUGCUUAUCUUCGAGUUGAAAGACAGGCGCCGCACGAACUUUGACGAUCAAACUCACUACGUCCGUGAAAUGAAGCUUUGUUUGAUAUUAUUGUUAUUUUUAAAUUAAUUUUAAAUAAAAAUUUUACAUAAAAUAGUAUAGAAAGGGAUGAUGCAUCACUUUCAAUCCCUCCAUUCAACGGGUUUGCUCAGCCACAAAAAAAAUUAUAUAUAUAUUCGAAGCAAUUAUUUUAUGAUGGGAUGCAAUAAAAGAUAUUUCUGGCGUCUGUAUUGCAUUCUGAAAAGAGAUAAAUUUAUUGAAUAAAAUAUUCAUAUAUUCAAACAAAAUUUUUUACUUAUAAAAACUGAAAUAAAAAGAAAAAAAAAAGAAGUUGAUGAGGUGCGAAAAGGGAAGCAACAAAAAAGUUGAGGGACCAAUUUCAAACGACGUAUAGUUGAGUGGGUCUCGGUACAUUUUUACUCCUCCAUAUGUAUAUAAACCCUAUCCACUGAACUAUGGCGAUGCGCGUGCUCGUCGAUUACCCGUCGCAGUGCGAUGGACUCAGACCCGGACGCGGGGCGGUACUUCGCGGCGUGGUUCGGGGAACUGCGUUCCCUGCGCCGCGAUCUCCGCUCGGCCCGGUUCGAUCCGGACCGGGCCCGGCUCGCUCCGCUGGUCGACCGGGCGCUGGCCCACUACGACGCCUACUACCGGGCCCGGUCCGAGCUCGCCCGGUCCGACCCGGUCGGGGCCUUCACCACCCCCUGGGCCACCCCGGUCGAGCGCGGGGUCGCGUUCUGGGUCGCCGGGUUCCGCCCCACCACGUUCGUCCAGCUCCUCUACACCGAGUCGGGCCGCCGGUUCGAGGCCCGGCUCGAGGACUUCCUCCUCGGGGCCGGGGCCCGGUCCGGGGACCUGGGCGACCUGAGCCCGGUUCGAGUGGACCGGAUCGACGAGUUGCACCGGAGAACGGUUCGGGAGGAGGACGAGAUCGGGGAGGAGAUGGACCGGAUUCAGGAGGGGGAGGGGUUGGACGUGGAGGGCUCAGUGGACCGGAUCGAGAGGGUGAUGGGCCGCGCCGACGCGCUGAGGAUGAGGACGCUGGGCGGAUUGGUCGGUCUACUGAACCCGGUUCAGGCGGCGGAGCUGCUCGUCGCCCUUGCCGAUUUGGAGAUCGGUCUACGGGAGUACGGGCUCGAGCACGAGCACGAGCACGAGCGAGUCCCGGACGAGUGCUGAACCCUUGUCUACGCCCUGCGAGGGUUUUUUUUUUUUUUUUUUGUUUUUUUUUUUUUUUUUUUUUUUUUUUUUUUUUUUUUUUUUUUUUUUUUUUUUUUUUUUUUUUUUCGUCAGCUCCUCCGUUAAUAUUUCACUAAAUUACAUACAAAAAAAAUUUCAGAUAUCCUAUCUAACUUUAUAAAAUAUUCACUUUAGUACUUUUCAAUUUUAACUUUGUUACUGAUUUAACAAAAAAAAAUUAGCAAAAUGAAUAAUAAAAAGAGAAAAAUAAAACAACAAAAUACUAAAUUGAUAUAUUUAAAAUUAUAAAGUACUAAAGUGAAAAAGUGUGAAACCAUAAGAUAAUAUUUGAAGUUUUCUCAUUUUUUUUAAUAUAUAUAUUAUUAUAGUUUAGGUAUUGAGUUAGAACACCCCUACGGCUUCGUUUGGUUCGGUUGUAAGUAAGAACUAGUAUAUACCAGGGAUAGAUACAAAUUUAGGUACGUAUAAGCGAGAACUAAACCAAUUUUGUGUUUGCAUGAAAAUUUGGUUGUUUUUGGGAAUAAAAAGAAAUAAUGUUUCGAUGGAUAAGAUGGAAUAAGAAGAAUAAUUGAUUAUAAAUUUAGAGAUUACAAAAUUUAAAUUUUAAAAAUUUAAAUGAUAAUUUAAAACAAAAAAAUCUCUCUCUCUCCCGGAGAAACAAGGGGUGGGAACAAGCUUGUUCCCAUCCCCCACUAUGGGUGGAAACUGGGAACAAUAGUUCCCUCCCACCCAACUUCGUGUUUGAGUACAAGUGGGGGAUAAGACCCUUGCCCUCCAUAGAUCUUAUACCAAAUCCAAACGGUACCUAGAAGUAUUUUGGCAGCUAUAAUUGUAGGAUUUAAAAAUUAAAAAUAUUGAUCCAAUAAUCAAAAAGUAUUUAGAACUUAGAUACUUUUAAAAAUAUUUUAUCUGAAACUUACUAUUCAGCAUACAAAAAUAUUAUGCAGAGAUGAUGAAGAAGAUAAUUUAUAGAUAUAAUUCAAGACACUAGAUGGAUUUGCUAAUAUAUAAAUAGCAUUAUAAUAAAAUUUUAUCUGGCCUCUUAUGCUUAAAAAAGAAAUUGGACCAGAUCAAAUAUGGUCCGAAAAAUAAUAAUAAUAAUUGAAUACUAUUCAACACGAUUCUAUUGUUUGCUUUGUGUGAUAAAAUGGUUUUGCACUCAAUAUUAUUUAAUUAAUAUUACACCACACUAGGAUUUUAAUUUCCUCUAUUUUUGAAAUAUUUCCUUUUUUACUUUUUCUAGCUUUAUAAUGUUUUUAAGAACAUCUCUACAUAGGGAUUUAUGAUUUUAUUUAAUCAUAUUUUGGAAUAUAAUUGACAAUAUUUCCGAUUUUAUUUAGUGGCCAAACGUAAAUAAAAGGCCACUAAAAAAAAAAAAGAACACUAUCAACGGUCAAGAUUAACUACCGCCACAAAAGUUUUAUACAUUUAUUGAAAAAUAGGGUGCUAAAAAGUCAACUACACUUACAAAUGGCUAAAUUUAAAUUUUGUCACUAAAACUAAGUAUAAAUUGUGACCACUGUAUAUAACCCAAUAAAUUACUUACAAGCACAUUACAUUACCCAAUAAAAUAAGAUUGAUAUAGUUUUAGCCAAUGUUUUAAAAUCCAAGUCCAGUUGCCAGGUUUGGCAGGUUCGACCAAUUAAUAAAAUAAUUCAUUUCAACCAUCAAAAUCAGAUAAGCCAAAAUUUUCUUUGAACCAUUCGAGCCUCUGGUUCAACUAGAUUUUUCUUUGUUUCUAUUUUUUAUUCAUUAGUAUAAUUAUUAAUUUUAUUUGUGAGUGAUUUUUGUUAUUUUUGUUUUCUAUUAUGUGAAAUAAAAUUUGAAAACUUGUAUCUACUUUAUUUGAUUUAGUAAUCUGUAUUUUAUAAUUAACUAUAAUACCAAAAUAAUAUUAUGUAUAUCCAUACAUACUUUCAUUCGUUAGAUCAUACUAUACAAUCAAUCAUCACUCAACCGUAGGGGACCAUUGUCCUCCUAACUGCACAUAUCUUCAUCUAAGGAUAGAAAACCUAAUAGCGCAAAUCGCUUGGUACUAUUAAUAAUAUAGUAGUCUAAUUUUAUAUGGUACUAUUUAUAGCAUAGUAUAUAAUCAAUCAUCACUCAACCCUAGGGGACCAUUGUCCUCCUAACUGCACAUAUCUUCAUCCAAGGAUAGAAAACCUAAUAGCGCAAAUCGCUUGGUACUAUUAAUAAUAUAGUAGUCUAAUUUUAUAUGGUAUUAUUAAUAGCAUAGUAACAUAUAUAUAUAUAGAGAGAGAGAGAGAGAGAGAGAGAGAGAGAGAGAGAGAGAGUUGAGCUAGAAUACUAUUGAUAGCAAACGGGCUCCGUUGCCACUUAUUUGUUUUCGAUGAUAGAGUUUCCAAAUCGACGAUCGGCACCGUUGAACAUAAUCUAUACCACUUGAAGUAUUUAGAAAUCAAACUUCAUAUAUUUUCGAUAUUGUUCUCUUAUCUAUCGAGUGGACACAAAAAUGAACGGCUGAAAAUAAAUAUUCUUUAAAAAAUGAUGAUAGGAGUCUUGUAAUCAAGAUUAAGAGUAUAGAUUUUGUAUUAAAUAGUUUAAAAAAUUUUCUAACAAAAAUUCAAUUGAUGUGGAUAUUUUUACGCCAUUAAACGAGAAAACACCUCAUAUCGACCAUUAAAAUUACAAAUUUUGUAAUCCUUUGAUCAUGAGGGAAAUGAUGUCGAAAAGAUUUGAAAUUUGAUUUCUAAACACUUCAAGUGGUAUAGAUCAUGUUCAACGGUGUCGAUCGUCGAUUUGGAGGCUCUAUCAUCGAAAACAAAUGGAUGACAACGGAACCCAUUUGCUAUCGAUAGUAUAUAUAUAUAUAUAUAUAUAUAUAUAGGCUAGAGCUACUGUACUUAUAUGAGUAUACAGCCCUUUGUACUCAUAAGUUUUCAACCGUUCAGAUGAAAAAAUAUACGGUUAUGAUGAAAGUGGUUACAGUUAGGUUGAUAGUGGGCCCCCUAGGGUUGAGUGGGUGGUUGGUUGAAUAGUAUAAUAUAGUAGGUCUUGUGUGCUAUUAGGAGUACGGAGGCCUCCGUGCUCCUAAGCCGUUUUCGAUAGUAGAGCUUCCGAAUCGACGAUCGGCUCUGUUAGAUUUGAUAUAGAAUAUUUAAAGUAUUUAGAAAAUAAAUUUUGUAAUUUUUCGAUAUUAUUUACCUAGCGAUCGAAGGGGUUCAAAAUUAAUAAUUUUUAAUAGUUGGUUUAUAUGGUUUGCAAGUUUAACGGUAUAGAAGUAUUCAAAUUAGAUAAAAUUUUGAUAGAAAAUUUUUUAUCUUAUUUGCUGCAAGAUCAAUAUUUUUAAUCGAAAAUUUUAGUGUUAUAUCAUUACUUGUUGUGAGAUUUUUAUUUUCAGCCAUUGAUUUUGAACCUUUUCGAUCGCUAGAUAAAUGAUAUCGAAAAAUCACAAAAUUUAUUUUCUAAAUACUUCAAAUAUGUUAGAUCAAAUCUAACGGAGUCGAUCGUCGAUUCAAAAAUUCCAUAAUCGAAAACGGCUCAGGAGCACGGAGGCUUUCCAGUGCCUUCCUUAAUGUACACAAGGCGCCUACUGAUAAUAUAUAUAAUAUAUAUAAUAUAUAUAUAUAUAUAUAUAUAUAUUAUUAUAUAUAUAUUAAUCUGACUGGCUGGUAUGCUUAUGGAAGCAGGAGCGCGUCCGUGCUCCUCCAAAUUUGUUUCGAUUGGUUCGACUUUCAAUCGACGAUCGGCUCUGUUAGAGUUGAUCUUAGAGUAUUUGAAGUACCCCUAGAACAAUAAAUUUUGUAAUUUUCGAUAUCAUUUUGUCUAGUGAUCGAAGGGGCUCAAAAUCAAAUAAUUUUUAAGGGCCGGUGGUGAGACCGGUUUCAGUUAACGGUGUAGAAGAUAUCCAAAAUCACAUAAAAAUAUUUGAAUAGAACAAUUCUUUAUUACCAUAUAAAAACCAAGAUGAAUAAUUUUGAUCAAAAUUUUAAUGUCAAAUCAUCAUAUUUUUUAAGAUUUUUAUUUUCAGCGUUGAUUUUGAGCCACCUUCUUAUCACCUAGGCAAAUGUAUAUAAAAAAUCGCAAAAUUAUUUUCUAAGAUACUUCAAAUACUCUAGAUCAAAUCUAAACGGAGCCGAUCGUUCGAUUCCGAAAUCCGAACGAUGAGAAACAAAGUGGAAGCACGGAAGCCUCCGUGUCUUCCAUAAGAAUCCUUAGCAGCCCAUCUAUAUAUAUUAUAUAUAGUAUGAAUAUAUAUAUAUAUAUAUAUAGUAUAUAUAUAUAUAUGACUUCCGGUACGUAAUAUUCUUAUUAGACCAGAUCGCCCCCCUCCGGUACUCAUAGUUGGUUUCGAUGAUAGAGAUUCCGAUCAACGAUCCAUACCGUUAAACAUUAUCUAAGAGAUUUAAAACUUUUAGAAAUGCAAAUUUUAUAAUUUUUGACUCAUUUAUCUUACGAUGCAAACAGCUCACAAAUUGAUAAUUUUUAACGCCGCUAUGGAAAUUAACGAUGUUAAAGAUUGAAUAGGUUGAAUUUUUGAUAGAAAGCUUUUAUUCGACUACCCUAGAUCAGAUCAAUAACCUGGCCGAUCUCUAAAUUGAAAGAUUCGAUCAUGCCAUUUUAGGACGGUCGUUCCGAUUUUGAGCCGAUUUAUUUAUGCUGUUGAUGAGUACUUUAUUAUGAUUUCGAAGAAAAUUACAGAACAUUUAUUUUAGAAGUUUCAAAUACUCUAGAUUAUAUUUAAGGAAUGGGCAGUCGUGAUGUCGGCAAGCCCCAUCAUCGAAAACAACAUAUGUGUAUGAGGGCAGAUACUCAUAGGAUAGUAGAUCCUACUCAUAAUAUAUAUAUAUUAUAUAUAUAUAUGAUUAUAUAUAUAUAAUAUUCAUAUAUAUAUAUAUAUAUAUAUAUAUAUAUAUAAUUAUUGAUAUAUAACUAUUUUCUACCACCUACUCAAAUUUAAUGAGUAGUUAGAAUGGGAAAUGUGGACGAUAAUUGGGAAGAAACUUGGAGGUAUCUCAAUUCUCUUGCUUCUUCGAUAUCGUCUUCUAUAUCUCUUCCUCUCUCGAUAUCUAACCAGUCUAUCAAAAUUGGAAUGGGGUAGUUAGAAAGUUAGAGUUAAAAGAACUGCUGUAUACUUGCUUAAUAGUAUAAUACCCGCUAUAUAGUAUAUAUAUAUAUAUAUAUAUAAUAUAUAAUAUAUAUAUAUAGAUAGAAUUUACAAGUAAUAUGAUUAUUGUUUAAAGUUAUGCUGCAUUAAUGGCUCCAUGCUAUUAGUUGGAACCACGAGAUAGGCCGUGUAAAUGAUGCCGAACACGACUGGCUCUUAAGAUAUCGAGUCGAAAUUCGAGCAUCGGUGUUCGGCUCUUACAUAACGAGCGCGAAUAUAGUUGACUUACGAGACUGGCCGAACGGAACAAUAAGUUAAAAAAAUUAAUUGAAUAAUUAUAAAAAAUAAAUUAUAAAAUCUUAUUUCAUUAGACUUUGAUUAAUAGUUAAAACUUUACAUAUAAAUGAGUUUUUUUUUUUAUAAUUAAGCUCGCUUUAUAUUUUUAUUUGCUAAAAUUAAUAUUAAAAUAUAUAUUAUAUAUAAUUUAUUUAUUUAUAUAUAAAAAUAUAAAUUAAAUAAAUUAUAUAAAUAUAAAAUAUAUGUAUUCGAGCUACUUAUCGAGCCGAAUACGAGCAACAGCUGACCCAGCUCGUGGUGUCGGCUCGUUUACAAACGAGCGAUUCGAUCUCGAUCUGCAUUUCGAGGCGAACACGGAGCUGCCGCUCGCGUAAGCGAGCGAGAUUGCCACCCCUAGCCACAGGUUAAACCAGUAAUUUUUGACUUAGUAAUAUUUCAGAAUUAUUACUCUCUGAUGUCCUUUGUAACCAUUAGUUUUAACUAUUGUAUUUGUUAUCUGCAUAAAUUUUUGGUAUAAAUGUCUUAUAAUAAUUAAGAUUAAAUGAAUCAUGGAGGGUCACGCAUGCAUUACGUCAACGUGCACUGCGGAGACAUCCAACGAAUAGAGAGUGCAAGGACGGACGCCGGAAAGAACAAUCCGGGGACGACGAACUCGUGAUCUGCAGACUUGCAUGUCGGACACGUGGGAGCCAGCUGUCGGCUGCCCGCGGAAGAUAGCAUGUUAUGCUCGCGGCUGCAGACUGCUGCAGCAAGAAUCUUUUGCUGCCGUCAUUAGGCGUGCAGGGGGCGAUGUUCGACCUCGUCAUACUAGCAUCGCCGGCUGUUCGGGAGAUAGAUGUCCACCUCUUGUUCGGCUCGAGAAUGAGUUCGAAAUUAAUUACUUGUUAAGUAAACGAGCUGAAUGCGAGCUAAUUUUUUAUGUCGAAAUUUUAAUGAGCCAAAUGCGGACUCUCACUACUGUUCGCAAGCUAUCUCGUGUUCGGCUCGAGAUGAAUCGCUUGCUAAAUAAACGAGUGGAAGACGAGCUAAUUUGUCGGAUUGAAAUGUUAACUAGCCAAACAAGAGCUAGCAUUGGUCAACAAUGAUGAUUAGUCGUGGGAUCCACUAUUGUGCAUAAUUCAAGAAUCUUUAGGGUUGGUUUAAUGACCAAAAAUGUUAUAACACUAAUAUCUUAGUGCUUUCAAAAAUGCCGUGAUCAAAUUCUCUCUCUCUCUUACAAAUUUUUAUCAUUUGAAUUUGAGCCCAACCCAAAUAUAAAAAAAAAACUUAUAUUUUGUAAAUUUUAAUUUAUUAAAUUAAGAUUCUAAUUUUUUAAUUUUCUUUCAAAUAUUCAUGACCCAAUAGUAAGUUUGACAAUCUAACUAGUUAUUCGGGAGCCGGCUCGUGAACACGAGAUGGUUUUUCCGCCUGAGAUGACUUGUUUAUUAAUGAGCUGAAGAUUUUUAGCUCGAUAUAUUAACUAGCCAGCUCAUAUUUGUCUAGUUUAUUAAAUGAGCUGAAAACAAGUUAACGCUCGUGUUUCGCUGGUUGACAGCCCUAGCACCAGCACUCUAUAAAAAAUAUACACAAAUUUUCUAUUUUAUAUUUUAAAAGAUUCCAAAAUAUUCAAUUGUUUUAUUACUUUUUAAUACUAAAAAUUUUAAAUUUUUCGGAUGAUGAAACCUAAAACUUACAUUCUAUAAAAAGACUUAUAUUCUAUAAUAAAAUGUAUACAUAGUAUUUUAAUACUAAAAAUGAAAAGUAUUUUUAAAAUUUUUAAAUGAUGGUGCCUAAAAACCACACUCUACAAUAGAGUGUAUAUAUAAUAUUUUUUAUAUAUUGUUAAUAUGGUUGGGUCAUAUAUAUUAUAAAACAGCUACAUAAGUUUGGCAAAUGAAUAAUUCAUAAAUUUUAAUAUAUCUAUACAAACUAUAAUUUGACAGUUUUGGAUAGUAUACGUGUCAACCUCUCUUUCUUCCUGAAAGUAUAAUUCUUCCAUGUCUUGGAAAUGUACAUUCUCAAAUCUUCCCUUCUUCUUGGAAAUCUGUCAAAUCUUCCUUUUUUGAGAAUCUAUCAAAUUUUUUGAAAAUCUACCAAAUCGAAUCUACCAAAUUUUUUAAAAUCUCCCCCCUCUUGAAAAAGUACCAAAUCUUCCCCCUGCGCCUUAGGGAAGUAAUAUAAAAAUCUGCUUAGGGGUUUUGCAGGAGAGGAGGGAGAAAGAGGGGAGGGGCGGCCACGCUUUUCGGUGAGGACUAUAACUCCUCAUGGGGUGGUGAUGGAGGAAGAGAAAAAGGCAAAGAUGAUGGCCUCUGCGAUGCUGAAGAGAUGGGUCGUGUAGGGUCUCGGACAACCUAUGAUAUCCACUUCUUCUCAUACUUAGUCUUCUGUGCCUUUUUUUUCCUGAUUAUAUUAUUAGAUUUGCUAAAAAAAAGUAUUUUUAAGAUAUUUUUCGCUAAAAAAAUAUUUUUUAAGAGAAAAAGAAGUUUUUCUAUUUGUUGUGGCUUAAUUUUGAGUAAAUCUCUAAUAUAUAAAUAAUUAUUUUGUUAUUAUUUAUUAAUAAUUACUGUAUAUUUACUGUAAAUUUUUUUUCCACAGCGAAGCGCCGGUCUUUAACUAGUAAAUGAGAAUCUAACAGCUCAAAAGCCUGAUAUGAAAGAGUGCUGCAGAGUGAGAAAAUUAUGUCACUAAUUUCUUAAUACCGAUAAAUGGAUCUAAUUAAGUAUCUGGGGCUAGAAAGUUAGAUUUUGAUAAGUUAGCAGUAUUAAUGGGCUAAAUCAUUAUAAAGCUAAUAAAAAUUCUAAAAUGAAUAAUUUUUAUUUUUUUUUUAACAGAAAAAGGUAGCAUGCUAUUCGCUUCAUUUAUUUUAUUUAGAAAUAAACUUAGCUGAAAAUUUGAAUCAAUUAGGAUUCGAAUUUGGAUCUCGGAUACCAACCACCAAGCCUUUUUACCACUUGCGUUAGGGAUUUGUUAAUUGUUAACAUACUAACAAUGUGCGAAGGUUACAUUUUGGGGACCCACUGAACUUAAAAGACGAGUAUUGCUCUUUUUCUUAAGGCUAGAGUUCCUAUCGUAGGCUAAUUGAGCAUUUGCCAAAAAAGAGGGAAAAAAAUAUAUUCAACAUAUUCAAAGCAGAAUAUCGCGCUAUUAAGGGCUAACUGAGCUGGUCUUAAAAAAAGUGCCCGUCACACCUUUUGAAGAUCCCACUCACCAAAUAGAAAAAUAAUAUCUAAGUUAGUUGGAAAAGUUUUAAGACGGUGUUACCACAAGACAGUUUCACUAUAUUACAAAAGAAAAAUACUAUUUGUACACUCCAAUCAGAGUGUACAAGAUUCGCUCCAUCCAUCUUAAUAGGUGGAAUGAUUUUACUAGUCACUUGAUGUGACUAGGAAUUCAAUACCAUCAAUGUUCUUAAAAAUAUCAGUACUUUUUUAUGGGGAGGUUGAGUCAUACUCAAAAUUACGGAAGGCUGGAUUGGGCGGAGUCAUGUUCAAAAUUAUGUAAGACUGUUUGGACUGAAAGUCACAAUCGAAAUCUGUAAUGCUAUGUAUGUACGCUUUACGUUAAUCGAUAGUACCUUUGGAAUAGAUCGACCUUCUAAGAUUAAUGAUUAGCAUUGUCAAUCCUACACCUCUGCCAUAAAAUGGAAACGAGUGUUGAUGUUAUUAAGAAGAACUACUUUUCUAUACAGCCUGCAGUAAGCUAUUUUGACUAAAGAGAACAGAGGCUGCAUGCUGAACCCUAAACCUAUCCUAACAGCUGAACAUCUGCCCAAUGGACUAAAUGAAAUAAGGCUGAAAGAACAUCGAUUCUUUGAAAAUGAGUGCCAAGUAAGAAACAAGCUUUAGUUCCAACAGAACGGUCGGCUCCUUAAAGGAGCUACCGUUGUUGUUGUUGUUGGCAUGAAAAGCCUUUUGGAGGCUACUUGUGUAAGUGACAGAAGAUUUAGUGGUUGGUAUCCGAUGUCUCAAUUUGAAAUUUAAUUGAUUCAUAUUUUUAGAACGAAACGGAUAGCAUGCUACUUUUCUGUCUCUUUCAAUAGAAAAAUAAAAGAAAAAAAGUCUUUUGGAGCUUUUCUAUCGAAAGCUUUGCUUAGCAUUCGCCUGGUUCACCGACCGUCCCUAGAGCAAGUGGCAAAGGGCUUGAUGGUUGGUGUCCGAGACCCAAGUUCGAAUCCUAGUUAAUUCACAUUUUCAGCUAAGUUUAUUUCUAAAUAAAAUAAAUAAAGCGGGUAGCGUACUAUUUAUCUCUAAAAAAAAAAAAAAAAACAUUCGCNGCCUGGUUCUCCUUUCAAUCACUACCGUCUAACCUUUAUAAAAGUUUGCGCCUUUUAUUUGCUACUUUUGAAAUGGUCAAUAGUUGUACAUGUUUUCUUAAUUACUUCAUGGCUGGGCAACUGAAUUGCUAUACUCCAACUGAGUCUUUAUCCAUCAAAGAUCUUAAAAUCCUAAAUAUACAAUCCUAACAACCUAAGAAAUUAUGCUGAGCAACUGAAUUACUAUACUCCAACGAUCUUAAAAUCUUAAAAAUACAAUCCUAAUAUCGACCAUCCCUAGUGCAAGUGUCAAAGAGCUUGGCGGUUGGUACCCGAGGUCCCAAGUUUGAAUCAUAGUUGAUUCAUAUUUUUGGCUAAAUUUAUUUCUAAAUAAAAUAAACAAAACGGAUAGCAUGCUUACCUAUCUCUCUCUCUCUAAAAAAAAAAAAAAAAAAAAAAACAAUCCUAACAAUUUAAAAAAAUAUAACGCACUACCAAUACAAUUCUAACAAUCAAACAAAAAGUCUAAUAAUCUACAUACAACAAUUCUAACAAUCAAACAAAAAGUCUAAUAAUCCACAUACAAUCCUAAUAACCUUGAAAAUAAUAAAUGUUCACGUCUUUUUAAAGACGGUGAACAAUUCUGAGUUGGCAAAAGAAACGUUAGCUGGUCAAAUAAAAUUUUGAAAGAAUUAUUACGCAAAUUAGAAAUUUUUAUAGAAUUAUUGUAACAAAAAAAAAAUCUUCUUGCCCUUACGCCCGCUGUUUGUCGGGUCCAUAGUGGGAAUUUCUUCUUAGUCUUUUUUUUCAUGUCCUUGCACCUAUGAAUCCUCCCUUCGGCUCUGUAUUGUUUACAAGAUCCUCCUAAUUGGUCUCACCAGAUCACUUAUUAGAAUAGUAGUCCUGAAUUAUAAAAAUCAUUGAUCCAAUACAAAUUAUUAAGUUUGGCCUAACCGAAAGACCACAUCACUUUGGACUGUUAAAUCAUAUAAGACAGCUACUGUUCUUCAAUAACUAAAGUUUAAAGUUUUGAGAGCGCGGUAUUUCUAUAUUUUUAAGUUCAACACUCUCUCUAGUCUACCGACCGUCCCUAGAGUAAGUGGCAAAGGGCUUAUGAUUGGUAUCCGAGGUCCCAAGUUCGAAUCCUAAUUGAUUCACAUUUCUAGCUACGUUUAUUUCAUUUAAAUGAUUCAUUUAAAUGAAAUAAACGAGGCGGGUAGCGUGCUAUUUAUCUCUCAAAAAAAAAGAAAAAAAAACUCUCUAGUCUAGACUCGAGACAUUUUAACAGGAAUAAGACAUGAUCUUAAUUAAAUGGAAGAAAAUCAAAUAGCAUUAGAAGCUUGAUGUGAUUUAAACUCAAGAUCUCAUGUUUUGAUACCAUGUUAAAUCAUACGAUACAAUCAUUGUUCUCCAAUAAUCUAAGUAGUUAGAGAACAAUAUUUUUAUAUUUUUAGGUUUCGUUUGGUUCGAGUAUAAGUAAGAACUGCUUAUUUCAGAGAUAGAUACAAGCUCAAUGUAAACAAGAACUAAAUCAAUUUUGCGUGGAUAAAAAUUGGUUGUUCACGGGAAUAAAAAAUAUAGUGUUUGGAUUAGAUAAAAUAGAAUAAAAAGAAUAAUGGAUAUUUAUAAAUAAAAAAAAUUAUAUUAUCCCUCUCGUUAUAUUUGAAUUCGAAUUUUUAAAAUUUAAAAAUUUUAAAAAUAUAAAACAUCAAAUUUUAAAUUUAUCAAAUUAAAAUUUAAAAUUUAAAAUUUAAAAUUAUAAACUUUAAAAUUAUAAGCUUUAAUUUUAAAAUUACAAAUUAUAAAUUUUAAAAUUAUAAAUUUAAAAAAGAUAGGGGUGAGAACAGGUUGUUCCCACCACCCUUAGUAUUAAUGUUUGGAUAGAAGAGGGGGAUAAGGCCAUCCCAUCCUUAGUAUUGAUGUUUGGAUACAAGAGGGGGGGAUAAGGGCUUUAUCCCCCUUCUGUGCAUCCAAUCCAAACACCAUCUUUUUAAAGUUCAACAACGAGACAUAUCGACUGAAAACCAUUCAGCCCAAAAGUUUAAACAUGUAGAUUUCCAACCUCUUGUUUUUCAUUUCAUGUAAAUUGAACAUGUAGAUUUCCAGCCUCUUAUUUUUCAUUUCAUGUGCAACAAUCUACACGUGAACAUAAAGCUAAAGUAUAGCUUCCUUUCCAAUCCACAUAUGUUAUUUUCACAUAAUGAACUUUUGCAAAUACUUGAAAAUAUGGAAUUAUCACGAAAAGGAAAUAUGGAAAAGCAUACAGAGAAAAAGAUCAGGGGCUGAAAGAAGCUUCAAUGUUUGCUGCGUUAUAGAUGAAAAAUGUAGACUGCCAGAUUCUGCCAGAAUGAGGAUAUUUUUAAUUUUUGUGAUCUGAAUCAUAUACACUUAAACUGAUGUGUAGGCGAAGUGAAAAGUUGAUAGGAUAAAUCAUGGAUUUAAUGUAGAAUAUUGGCGUACCAAACUAAUAAUAAAACUCUCUUUAUUACACACAAAAAAAUAACUCUCAUUCACAUACACCCAUAAGACUACAAACCUCACACACUCACUUCACUACUUCACUACACCUCACAACACUUCCUCACCUCACACCACCACUCACACCCUUCACUAUAUCUCACUCUUCACUCUCACACUCUUGCACUCUCUCACUCUUGCACUCUCUCCAAGCACACAUGGUGUGGGAGCCUCACAACUAUUUAUAGGCUCCCUCCCAACCUACCUACAUAAGCACUCUAGAAUAUUCUAGAGUACUUACUUCUAGAACUCACUAAAGUGCUCUAUUAGCAAGUAGAGAGCACUUUGUUCCUAGAGCUUUCUAGAAUGCUCCAUUAGCUAGUAGAGAAUUGAAAAGGGAUAGGGCAUUCUAGAAUGUUCUAUUAAAGAGAGAGAGAGAGUUGCCUCUUUCAAUACUCCCCCUCAACUCUAACUCUCUCUUAAUGCUACUGUGCUGAGCAUUCCUAAUCGCUUUCGAAACUCUUCAAAUUUUGUGGUGCUUAGUCCUUUGGUGAAUAUGUCGACUACUUGCUCUUAUGUUUUGAUUCUGUUUCAGUGCUUGGAUCCUUUCGUCCAUUGUGUUCCUCCACUUCUUGCUUGUGACUGCUUCUUCGUAGAAGGCCAGCUCUUUUGGAGUCUCUUCUUUUUCGGUGAUAGCAACAUUUGCACACUUAGUAUUGGGCUUUCUUUGCCUAAAAGACCUUCGUAACUGUGUACCUAUAUCUUCAAGUUGGCUUGGUCGAUCUUCUUCUGGGGUUUGACAAUGUACGCCAGUUCGCCAGGGUUCUGGAGACUUCUGGAGUUGCUGCUCAUCACCGGUUGGCUCCAUUGAAGGUUGACCGCUUUCUUCUUGCUCUGACACGGCCUUUUCUUCUUCUUGUUCUUGUUCUCCAAGCUUUCCUUGUAGUUUGAUUUUUAUCUCUUUAGAAUCUGGUAGUAUCACUUCUUGUGAGGACCACCAAGACGACGCUUCAUCGAACACGACAUUUCUCGACGUGUAACAACGACCGGUUGUUAGGUCACAGCAUUUCCACCCUUUUCUUUCACUAUCGUACCCGACGAAGAUACAUCGUAUCGCCUUCUUGUCGAAUUUACUUCGAAGAUGGUCCGGCACGAACACAUAGCACACAUAUCCAAAGACUCGAAAAUGACUUACUGUGGGUUUGAUUUUCCACAGUACUUGAUAGGGUGAGAUGAAUCCUAACUUCUGUUGCGGCAGCCGGUUGAUGACAUGUGCUGCUGUUCUCAUACAUUCUGCCCAAAAUCUGCCUGGCACAUUCUUUGCAUGCAGCAUGCUUCGGCUAGUUUCUGCUAGAUGUCUAUUCUUUCUCUCAGCUAUACCAUUUUGUUGCGGAGUGCGAGGACAUGUAAGCUGUCUUCUUAUUUUGCACUCUCGCAAAUAAGCUGAGAACUCUGUUGAGGUAUAUUCACCUCCAUUAUCCAUGCGCAGGCAUCGUAUUUUAUGGCCGGUUUGGCUUUCAACUUUUUCUUUAAAUUCUUUAAAUUUUUGUAGCACUUCAGAUUUUUCUUUAAUAAAGUAUACCCAGACGUACCUUGAGAAGUCAACAAUGAACGUCACCAUGUAGCGCAUGCCGCUAAUUGAUGAUUGCUUGACUGGUCCAAAAACAUCAGAGUGCACGAGCUCGAGCGGUACCUUGGCUCUAUAUUUAGAUUCAGUGUAGGGAAGUUGAUGAGCCUUACCAAACUGGCAUCCUGCGCAGAUUGUGUCUCCUCGUAUUUCAAGUUGAGGUAAGCCCUUAAGCAUACUGCGCUCCAUCAUGAUUUUCAGUUUGUGAUAGCCCACAUGUCCCAGUCUUGUAUGCCACAAAUCAGCAGUCUCACUUUUUCGAGUCUUUUCUACGUAUGCUGAUUCUGCAGACAUUACGUAUAUAGACUCUACUUUCUUUCCUUCCAUGAUUUGUAUACGAGAUAUCUUGGAACUGCGAAAUACCUUGACAUCUUGUGGCCCAAAUACUACACAAUUGCCCGAUGCAGUCAGUUGUGAUACUGAUAAGAGAUUUUUCUUCAUACCUGGGACAUGGUAGACUUUCUGUAGUUGUACUUGAUGUGGGCUGAAUUUGGGUGUGAUGAUUGUCUUUCCUAUGUGAGUGAUUGGCAGCUUCGAUUUGUUAGCUGUCACCACUACUCUUCCUCCUUUAUAUUCUGUUGUGCUGAGCAGCUUGUCUUUAUCACCGGUCAUAUGAUUGGAACAUCCAGAGUCGAUGAUCCAAUCUGUACUGUAAUUCACCUCUCUUGGAUUUUCUAUUGUUAUGAGUGCAUAUAUUGGUACCUGCUUUAGUAGCUUUUCCUUCUUAGCACCUGGCGUCAUUUCCUCCGUAGCAGUGUUUUCUGACCUUCGUUCUUCGAGAGCCUCUUCUUUGUUUAAGUGACAGUCUUCUUCUGACUCCAUGAUGGCGAAGGAGGCUUGAGCAUCCCACUCUUCUUCACUAUUGUAUGCUGCUUGGUGGUCACCUGAUGUUGCCAUAUUGCCUUGUGCUUGUUUCUUCAUGUGCCAACAGUCUCGGGCGAAGUGUCCUUUCUUGCCGCAAUUGUAACACUCUCUGCUUUGUCGUCUGUCGUAUUUAAACUGCCAGGUAUUUUGCUCCUUCUGGUUGUGGACUCCCCCUAUAAGGUGGCUCUCUCCCAACCUUUGUUUUAACCCACUGAACUCCUUCGGCAGCUUCAAAUUUCUUGGCCCUCCUGUUGCUCGACUUUUUCUUCUACUGCUAAAGAGUGCCUCCUCUUCAUUUUUCAUUGAGACUGCAGCCAUCUGUUUGGCUAGAGCCUCCUGAUUAGCCAGUAAAUUUUCUAGCUCCACCAACGUUGGUUGAGUGGGCCAUCCUCGAACAGCAGUAAUGAACCCGUUAUAUUCGGGUUUUAGGCCAUGAAUAAUAAUUCUCUUCAUCCGCUGGUCACUAAUUUUUGACUCUGGAUCUAAUUGGAAAAUUUCACGGCAGAGAGAUUUUACCUUCAUGAAGUACUGGCUAAUUGUCAUGCUGCCCUGAGAUAUCGUCAUCAGCUCAUUUUCCAGCAGUUGAAGUCGAGCAUCAUUCUUCUUUGAAAAUAACGAUGCGAGGGUGUCCCAUGCAGCCUUGGGUGUAUCUGCUUCCUUGAUAUGCUCCAGCAGCUCUUCUUCGAUUGUCGUCUUCGGGACGAACAUCGCCUUCCCUGCCUUGAUACGCCACUUUCUGAACACCUCUGCAUUCUCCUUUUGUGGUGAAGUUGUUUCAGCACCACCAAUUACCUCCCACAAAUCCUGCCCUUGUAGGUAAGACUCAAUGCAGGUUUGCCAAUAACCAAAAUUAUGGUUAUUUAGCUUCUUAAUUCCGCUAGUUGUACCAACAAGAUCUGCCAUAGUGACUUGGUGAUUGUCCAGCAGUCAACCAAGUAAGUCUGGUCCUAGAUCAACCAACUUCACAGUCCCAGACUGUGCACCAGCAGAAUCUCUGCUUAUAUCGGUAUUUAACUGCCUGGACUGGCAGAAUUUCACCGACUUAACUAGCAGAAUAUUUCCUACAAUCUGGCUCUGAUACCAAAUUGUAGAAUAUUGGCGUACCAAACUAAUAAUAAAACUCUCUUUAUUACACACAAAAUAACUCUCAUUCACAUACAUCCAUAAGACUACAAACCUCACACACUCACUUCACUACUUCACUACACCUCACAAUACUUCCUCACCUCACACCACCACUCACACCCUUACUUCACUAUAUCUCACUCUUCACUUUCACACUCUUGCACUCUCUCACUCUUGCACUCUCUCCAAGCACACAUGGUGUGGGAGCCUCACAUCUAUUUAUAGGCUUCCAACCUACCUACAUAAGCACUCUAGAAUAUUCUAGAGUACUUACUUCUAGAACUCACUAAAGUGCUCUAUUAGCAAGUAGAGAGCACUUUGUUCCUAAAGUUUUCUAGAAUGCUCCAUUAGCUAGUAGAGAAUUGGAAAGGGAUAGGGCAUU